UUCUUUUUUUCUUUUUUAGUACUGUCGGGGAGAUUAUAGUUAGGGGCUCUUCUCUUAGGGUUUCGAGUUGGAACCUCUAGUCUCGGUCUCGUCUGACAGCAAGCUGUGUGGUCUAAUCCUAAUUAGCUAUAGGUCAUUCGUCCAUUAGUCGGUAUUCCGUUAGCAGUUCACGAAGUGAACGAGUGAAGGAGGGAUUGUCCAACUAAACGGUGUACAAUUAGUGAGGCGACUGAACGAAC
RNAcentral lists this long non-coding RNA (239 nucleotides) under Amborella trichopoda. RNAcentral describes it as "long non-coding RNA (ATRI_LNC002503)". Lineage: Eukaryota; Viridiplantae; Streptophyta; Magnoliopsida; Amborellales; Amborellaceae. The record is from RNAcentral.